Molecule: long non-coding RNA, 507 nt
Organism: Rhipicephalus sanguineus (brown dog tick)
Lineage: Eukaryota; Metazoa; Arthropoda; Arachnida; Ixodida; Ixodidae
Exons: 5
Source: RefSeq, a predicted model, not a curated record
GGAUACAGCACAGGAAAUGUUCAACAGUCACAUGCUGUGUAUGGUGACCAUAUCUAUUGCAUACUGCCGAGCACUUCAGCGCAACCACAACUGCCAGACUACCUGUCCGAGCCGUCCACAUUAACUUCCGUGCAUGGGCUCCCAGAAGUGCCAGACUACCCGUCCCAGCCGUCCACGUCAAGGGUUUCUACGCCUAGGCUCCCAGAAGUGCCAGACUACCCGUCCCAGCCGUCCACAUCAAGAGUUGCCACGCAAUGACUUUUCCAUGCCUUGCUCGCUUCACUAUAGAUAAGAUUCUAUCAAUAAUUUUGCAGCUGCUAGAGUAGUGCACAAUGUGACCUGCCUCCUCUCUUUUUGUAGGGCUCCCAGAAGUGCCAGACUACCCGUCCCAGCCGUCCACAUCAAGAGUUGCCACGCAUGGUAAGUUACAUGCCUUGUUCGCUUCACUAUAGAUAAGAUUCUAUCAAUCAUUUUGUAGCGGCUAGAGUAAUGCACAUGUGUGACCUG